GCCACCCUAUAUCAUGAUUAUUUUUUUUCAUACAUGUCUUUAUGCAGACAAUCAAAUCUCCCAUAUCUUUAUCAAAUUUCUUUUGCUUUAGGCUGUCCACUUUCUUUUGCUUCCACUUUCAAAUUCCACUACACCUAACAUCACCACUGUAAAACCCAACUGUCAGCCAUAUAAUCAAACAUCAGAACAUGAACCCAUCCAUCCAUACAAUCUUUGAGUUCUCAAGAAAACAGCAACGCCGAUUUCAUCAAUAGAAGCAAUCAAAACCAGUAUCAUUCAUUCACAAAGGUUCUACCUUUUCUUUAUACAUCUUUCAUUUAUUCUUUACACAAUCCCAAACCAUAUCAGACUACAUACAUUUUUCAUGAAUUCUUUGCAGAUACACAACAAAUAGAAACAGACUCCAUUCCACACCUACAAGGUUAUUUCUAUGACUCGAGCACUUCUUUUGAAACAGAAACUCAAGUUAGAACCCAUAACACAUACACUGAUUCCAUUAUAUAUAAAUUUGCAUAUGACAACAAGACCCAAACUCAAUGAUGUUUAUUUAUCGUCUGUGCAUAUGCAUACAUACAUGAAGCAUGUUUUCUAAAUAGAAAAGAAGUAGAAAUUGAAGCUCUGUUUUUAUUCUUUGUUUUCGAACUGCCGUGUCGAGUCGGGGAGAGAGCUUGAGGGCUAGGGAUCGGCGGCGGCGGUCUUCCAGCCGUGCAGUCGCCGGAAGUCAGAGGGUAGGGAGGUGGAGACUGAAGGUGGGGAUUAGAGGCGGUCGGCGAUGGCUGGUUGCUGUCGUCCGUCCGACACAGAGUGAGAGGAAGAGAGGCAGGGGCCGGGCACGCGGCGGUGGUUAGCUCCGCUAGCCACUGUGGCCGCCGGACUUCGGAGAGAUGCAGCGGCGUUCUCAGUUUGCGGGAGUGUGUGCGUGCUCGUUCGGUGAGCGAGGAACGAGAGAGAGGACGAGGUAGAGGGGUUUAAGGAUCGAGCGGCCGGCGGCCGGCGACUCUACCGCCGCCGGAGAAGGAAGAAAAGGGGGGGAAGGCGUGCUGCUGCGCGCAGCUUUGUGUGUGUGAGUAUAUGCGUGUGAUUGUGUGUGUGAGUGUGACCGAGAGAGAGAGUGAAUCUGUAUUUGUUAUGCGUGUGUGUGUGAGCGGCUGAAAGGGGGGGAAGAAAAGGGAGUGGAGUGUAGGGUUGGGCUUUGGAGUGGGCUUGAGUGUUGGGCCGGGUUUUAAUUAGUGUUGGGCUGGGUUUUAAUUAGUUUUGGGCCGAGUUUUGUUUAUAUUUCAGUUGGGCCAAUGUUUUUAUUUAAUGCUUUGGGCCUUUAAUUUAUUCAUUGGGCUGUGCAGCUUCUCCAUUUAAUUGGACUGCACUAUUUUAAUUAAUUAGACUUAUUAAGUUUGAUUAAUUAUUUUAAUUUGCAUAAUAAUAUCAUAUUAUUAUUAUGUGCAUAUUUUAAGUUAUUACUUAUUAUAUGCUAAGCAUNUGGUUUAAUUAUCAUUCCAAUAUUAAAGAAAGAUGAGUAAGAAUAUUGUUGGUGUUCUUAACUCAAGAGAAAUAUUUUCAAGUAUUUAUUUAUUAAAUUUUGAAAACCCGGCUAAGUGAAUCAUAGAAUGUUAAGCACUACACCAUGACUUAAGAUUAGAUACAAGGAGACCUAUUGAGAAUAGAUUUCUUGUAGGCUUCGAGCAUCAGAAGGAUUAGCACUGCUAUUCCGAUUCAGAGAUAAGGUUAAACGACAGGCUUUGCCUAUACAGGUGGGCAUUACUUUUACUAUACGUAUAUAGAGAUCCCCUGCGUGUCGUAGGCCUCUUAUACGAAUAUAUGCAUGAGAUGAUUUUAACUGUUAAUUUCAGUUUAUUAUUAUGCCCAAAUGAUAAAUGACUCUUAUGAAAUGAAAAUGAAAUGUUUAUGAAAUGAAAUGAUUGACUGCCAAAAAUGUUUAUGUUUUUAUAUGUAUCCUAUCUGUGUUGGUUCGCCAACUUUAAAGGAAAUCCAAUUGGGAUCCUAUGCUAGACAAAGGUCGCUAGCUAGGGUUAACGUGUACACUCAUGGAGACCGCGAGUCGCUUGCGACCGGUCUUGGCGUCCGUGGUAAGGAGGCCUCCUUCCCGGCGCGUGAUAGAAAGGAACAGAUAUGGAUCAUAUGAAGGAAAAUGAUCGGCCGAUCGACUUUAUGAAAAUGAAAGAAAUGUUUGAGUAAGCGCAGGUCUUUCAAGAAAACCCCUGUGUGUUACUGUUAUGGCAGUUCAAUUUAUAUAUGUUAUGCAUGAAUGUAUUUUCGGCUAUGCCCACUGAGUAUUUUUAUACUCAGCCCUGCAUGUAUUUCUAAAUGUGCAGGUUGAGCAGCUGAUGGAAUGGAAUGAUGUUGAGCGGGUGUUCCUUUGACAUUUCAAGAAAUGUAACCUUGAGUAUACAUCUUCAUAUGUAUAUCUCACACGUUUUCCGCUGCAAAACACUUUGAUUAGGAUAGCUCUAUGUUAUGAAGUUGUUAUACGUGUUAUUGGGUAACCCACCUUAAUCAGUUCUCAUUUAUGUGUAUGUUUUAUAAGUAUCCAAAUAAUCAU
This 2557-nucleotide long non-coding RNA is filed under the name Salvia miltiorrhiza (redroot sage). RNAcentral's name for it is "long non-coding RNA (SMIL_LNC004529)". The record is from RNAcentral. Lineage: Eukaryota; Viridiplantae; Streptophyta; Magnoliopsida; Lamiales; Lamiaceae.